UGCCCCGGCCAUCCCCCCGAGGCCGGGUUACCGACGGCCCGCGCACACCCCCCCCCGAGGCGCGGGCCGUCCUUU
Corynebacterium frankenforstense DSM 45800 is the source of this 75-nucleotide non-coding RNA. NCBI's taxonomy places the organism in Bacteria, Bacillati, Actinomycetota, Actinomycetes, Mycobacteriales, Corynebacteriaceae. The record is from Rfam.